Molecule: small nucleolar RNA, 93 nt
Organism: Abrus precatorius (Indian licorice)
Lineage: Eukaryota; Viridiplantae; Streptophyta; Magnoliopsida; Fabales; Fabaceae
Product: small nucleolar RNA Z159/U59
Exons: 1
Source: RefSeq, a predicted model, not a curated record
GUCUCUGAUGGGGAUUUGAUUCAGUUAUAACUUUCGUUCUUCUGAUUAACAAUUCAUGAAGAAUGCUGUAUUGGAGACCUGAACUGAAGAGAC